Molecule: ribosomal RNA, 292 nt
Filed under: uncultured bacterium
Lineage: Bacteria
Also listed under: 1 other name
Description: partial 16S ribosomal RNA
Source: RNAcentral
GGACUACAAGGGUAUCUAAUCCUGUUUGAUCCCCACGCUUUCGUGCCUCAGCGUCAAUCAUCGUGUAGCAAGCUGCCUUCGCAAUUGGUGUUCUAUGUCAUAUCUAAGCAUUUCACCGCUACAUGACAUAUUCCGCCUGCCUCCACGACAUUCAAGACAGAUAGUAUCAACGGCAGUUUCCGAGUUAAGCUCGGAGAUUUCACCACUGACUUACCUGCCCACCUACGCACCCUUUAAACCCAGUGAAUCCGGAUAACGCUUGCACCCUCCGUAUUACCGCGGCUGCUGGCAC